GGUUUCAGUCAGGUCAGUUCUGCCUAUUGUGAACUCCUUUCAGAGCGAGCUGUUUCUGGGACUCCUGUCUCUUUAAACCCAAUUGAGCUGCUAUUGGCCAACUCAGCUACACAUGAACCACAUUUAAAUACUGCUACGUGUUUGAAAAGCAGAAGAAAAGCCUCCUGCACAACCAACAAUCUGAAUACUCCUGCAAAGAGCUCUGCAGCAGAGAGAAGCGACUCUGAGCAGAGCCGCGUUCCCCCUUCAGCUCCUCCAGCUCCCGCUGCAGGACCCCCAGCUGGCAGCGAGCGUCAUCCUGCAAAAGCAGCAAUACCAACUCCUGGAGGAAAUCUCUGAGGCCACUUCUCAGGGAAUCUGGGUCCAGUUCAGACUGAGGCAGCGGCGUGUCGCCUCUCUCUGGAGAAACGGCACCAGAAC
This is a long non-coding RNA of Poeciliopsis prolifica (blackstripe livebearer), 420 nucleotides long. RefSeq lists it as uncharacterized. The record is from RefSeq and is a predicted model, not a curated record. Lineage: Eukaryota; Metazoa; Chordata; Actinopteri; Cyprinodontiformes; Poeciliidae. The transcript has 3 exons.